CAGCCGCCGCGGUAAUACGAAGGGUGCAAGCGUUAAUCGGAAUUACUGGGCGUAAAGCGUGCGUAGGCGGUUUGUUAAGUCUGCUGUGAAAUCCCCGGGCUCAACCUGGGAAUGGCAGUGGAUACUGGCAAGCUAGAGUGUGUCAGAGGAUGGUGGAAUUCCCGGUGUAGCGGUGAAAUGCGUAGAGAUCGGGAGGAACAUCAGUGGCGGAGGCGGCCAUCUGGGACAACACUGACGCUGAGGCACGAAAGCGUGGGGAGCAAACAGGAUUAGAUACCCGAGUAGUCCCUGUCUCUUAUAC
RNAcentral lists this ribosomal RNA (301 nucleotides) under uncultured bacterium. Its description in RNAcentral is "partial 16S ribosomal RNA". It matches the Rfam family "Bacterial small subunit ribosomal RNA", at positions 509 to 807 of the family's 1533-position model. The record is from RNAcentral.